UGGGGAAUACGUGGACAAUGGGCGCAAGCCUGAUCCAGCAAUGCCGCGUGUGUGAAGAAGGCCUUCGGGUUGUAAAGCACUUUUGUCCGGAAAGAAAUCCUUGGCUCUAAUACAGUCGGGGGAUGACGGUACCGGAAGAAUAAGCACCGGCUAACUACGUGCCAGCAGCCGCGGUAAUACGUAGGGUGCAAGCGUUAAUCGGAAUUACUGGGCGUAAAGCGUGCGCAGGCGGUUUGCUAAGACCGAUGUGAAAUCCCCGGGUCUCAACCUGGGAACUGCAUUGGUGACUGGCAGGCUAGAGUAUGGCAGAGGGGGGUAGAAUUCCACGUGUGAGCAGUGAAAUGCGUAGGGAUGUGGAGGAAUACCGAUGGCGAAGGCAGCCCCCGUGGGCCAAUACUGA
This 400-nucleotide ribosomal RNA is filed under the name uncultured bacterium. RNAcentral describes it as "partial 16S ribosomal RNA". It matches the Rfam family "Bacterial small subunit ribosomal RNA", at positions 355 to 743 of the family's 1533-position model. The record is from RNAcentral.